Molecule: long non-coding RNA, 407 nt
Organism: Oncorhynchus tshawytscha (Chinook salmon)
Lineage: Eukaryota; Metazoa; Chordata; Actinopteri; Salmoniformes; Salmonidae
Source: Ensembl
CCCAGGUCCCAGUAUAGUCUACUCCCACAGCCCUUCCCCCACAGACAGACAGGUGCCAGGUCCCAGUAUAGUCUACUCCCACAGCCCUUCCCCACAGACAGGCAGGUGCCAGGUCCCAGUAUAGUCUACUCCCACAGCCCUUCCCCCACAGACAGACAGGUGCCAGGUCCCAGUAUAGUCUACUCCCACAGCCCUCCCCACAGACAGGCGGGUGGCAGGUCCCAGUAUAGUCUACUCCCACAGCCCUUCCCCCACAGACAGACAGGUGGCAGGUGGCAGGUCCCAGUAUAGUCUACUCCCACAGCCCUUCCCCCACAGACAGACAGGUGCCAGGUCCCAGUAUAGUCUACUCCCACAGCCCUUCCCCCACAGACAGACAGGUGCCAGGUCCCAGUAUAGUCUACUCC